This 478-nucleotide ribosomal RNA is filed under the name uncultured bacterium. RNAcentral describes it as "partial 16S ribosomal RNA". It matches the Rfam family "Bacterial small subunit ribosomal RNA", at positions 28 to 523 of the family's 1533-position model. The record is from RNAcentral.
GACGAACGCUGGCGGCGUGCUUAACACAUGCAAGUCGAACGGUAAGGCCCUUCGGGGUACACGAGUGGCGAACGGGUGAGUAACACGUGGGUGAUCUGCCCUGCACUUCGGGAUAAGCCUGGGAAACUGGGUCUAAUACCGGAUAGGACUCCGGACUGCAUGGUCUGGGGUGGAAAGCUUUUGCGGUGUGGGAGGGGCCCGCGGCCGAUCAGCUUGUGGGUGGGGUGAUGGCCUACCAGGGCGACGACGGUCAGCCGGCCUUAGAGGGUGACCGGCCACGCUGGGACUGAGAGACAGCCCAGACUCCGACGGGAGGCAGCAGUGGGGAAUAUUGCACAAUGGGCGCAAGCCUGAUGCAGCGACGCCGCGUGAGGGAUGACGGCCUUCGGGUUGUAAACCUCUUUCAGCAUCGACGAAGCGAAAGUGCCGGUAGGUGCAGAAGAAGGACCGGCCAACUACGUGCCAGCCGCCGCCGUAA